GUUUGAAGAAAUUGUUCCAUUAUAGUCCAGAGGAAAGUGAGGAGAAAAAAACAUCUAUUGUGAUGACGCCAUGUCCUGAAAAACAAAAAGGGAAAUAUAGGAUUAGUAGUAGUACUAAUAGUUUGAUAGAGGCAGACGUUACAUCCACCAAGUUGUCCUGUAACCACAAGUAUCACACUGAUUAGUAGUACUACUACAGCAGGUGAUGGUACAAGAAGUACAUUUAUGAGCAGUGUUACUUCAAUGGUCCAGUAGCAGAGCAGCAGUAGAUCUCCCAUUUUAUGUUGAGCAGCAAAAUAAAGAAAAAAGUGU
This is a non-coding RNA of Pelobates cultripes (western spadefoot toad), 312 nucleotides long. The record is from the annotation of a GenBank genome assembly. NCBI's taxonomy places the organism in Eukaryota, Metazoa, Chordata, Amphibia, Anura, Pelobatidae.